Molecule: ribosomal RNA, 681 nt
Filed under: Mycoplasmopsis bovis
Lineage: Bacteria; Bacillati; Mycoplasmatota; Mycoplasmoidales; Metamycoplasmataceae
Description: partial 23S ribosomal RNA
Rfam family: Bacterial large subunit ribosomal RNA
Source: RNAcentral
UACUUUUAAAUAAGGAAGAGUUUGUGGUGGAUGCCUUGGGUCUGGAAGUCGAUGAAGGACGUGAUUACCUGCGAUAAGCCUCGUAGAGCUGGAAAUAUGCUAUGAAACGGGGAUUUCCGAAUGGGGAAACCUAACUAUGGUAAUGCAUAGUUGCUUAUGUCUGAAUACAUAGGACAUAAAGCGAGAUACCUUGUGAACUGAAACAUCUUAGUAGCAAGAGGAAAAGAAAAUAAAUAAUGAUUUCUUUAGUAGCGGCGAGCGAACGAGAAAGAGCCCAAACCAUUUUAAAUGGGGUUAUAGGACAGACUACAUAGAGUUACAAAAUUUAAUAAUAGCAGAAGCUUUUGGGAAGAAGCGGCACAGAAGGUGAUACCCCUGUAUGCGAAAUUAUUAAAUCUCUUGACUGUAUCCUGAGUAGGGCGGGGCACGUGAAACCCUGUCUGAAUUUGCCGGGACCACCCGGUAAGGCUAAAUACUAACCAGACACCGAUAGCGAACUAGUACCGUGAGGGAAAGGUGAAAAGAACCCCGAGAGGGGAGUGAAAUAGACUCUGAAACCACUUACUUACAAUUAGUCAGAGCCCGUUAAUGGGUGAUGGCGUACAUCUUGCAGUAUGGACCGGCGAGUUACUUUAGCAUGCAAGGUUAAGCAGAUAAAAGCGGAGCCGUAGAGAAAUCGAG